CCCUUAGGCAAAUCCGGGGGGGCAACGUUGAGACUAAGGACCGGCCCAUUAGGGCUAGGCUGCUGAUAUCACGCUUCCAGGAAAAGCUCCUAAGCUUCAGCUUACGCAGACCGUACCGUAAACCGACACAGGUGGGCAGGAUGAGAAUUCUAAGGCGCUUGAGAGAACUCGGGUGAAGGAACUAGGCAAAAUAGCACCGUAACUUCGGGAGAAGGUGCGCCCUCCAUGGUUAAUAGCUAAGGGGGGCCGCAGUGACCAGGCCGCUGCGACUGUUUAUCAAAAACACAGCACUCUGCAAACACGAAAGUGGACGUAUAGGGUGUGACGCCUGCCCGGUGCUGGAAGGUUAAUUGAUGGGGUCAGCCGCAAGGCGAAGCUCUUGAUCGAAGCCCCAGUAAACGGCGGCCGUAACUAUAACGGUCCUAAGGUAGCGAAAUUCC
Molecule: ribosomal RNA, 440 nt
Filed under: Staphylococcus pseudintermedius
Lineage: Bacteria; Bacillati; Bacillota; Bacilli; Caryophanales; Staphylococcaceae
Description: partial 23S ribosomal RNA
Rfam family: Bacterial large subunit ribosomal RNA
Source: RNAcentral